UGCAUAUGGACCAGAAUGAAAAGCUUUGCAUGUUUGGUGUGACCCAUUUCAUAGCCAUUGAUAGCUUCAGCAAAAAAAUUGUUGGACGUCCCACCAUGGCAAUAAAAAACAAUUUAACAAUUUAUGAAGAGGUGUACAAAAAUGCUGUCCUUUCCCAUGGGAUGUGGGAUCAGGUCAGAGUGGAACAUGGUAGAGAAUUUUAUCUAACCCUCUUCAUGCAAGACAUCUUAGCAGAAUACAGGCAUAACCAGCAACGACUGCCUUACAUCCAGACAACAUCAACUAAGGCAAAGGCAUUCCUAAUCUGCUGACCAGAGAUGGCUGCAAGAGAAGAAUUUCAGAGCAACUGCUGCCAAGGGCCUCAGAAGCUGCAGACCUAUACAGACAGGAAAUGGGACACAGUUUGAUUACUCCAUCAGCAUUUGGCAUCGAUCCAUUUCAGUCUGAAGAGGACAAAAUUAAGGUAGAGACAGAGUUUAAUGCACUGAAUUUUGACCUUGAUAAUGUACUGAACUACACUGUAAAUGAGUAUUACAGACCAUACCAAGAUGUGCAUAGAGAUGCUUUAUAUCGUACCACUUACAGACAAAACUUAUCUGAUGUUUUUUAUUUUUUAUCGUAAACUGUA
This is a long non-coding RNA of Tachysurus fulvidraco (yellow catfish), 628 nucleotides long. RefSeq lists it as uncharacterized. NCBI's taxonomy places the organism in Eukaryota, Metazoa, Chordata, Actinopteri, Siluriformes, Bagridae. The record is from RefSeq and is a predicted model, not a curated record. The transcript is spliced from 3 exons.